CUCUAUAGCCAUGCCACCCUGAAUGUGCCCGAUCCCGUCUGAUUCGGAAGCUAAGCAGGGUCAGGCCUGGUUAGUACUUGGAUGGGAGACCGCCUACCUAGGAAUACCAGGUGCUGUAGGCG
Molecule: ribosomal RNA, 122 nt
Filed under: Pteropus alecto (black flying fox)
Lineage: Eukaryota; Metazoa; Chordata; Mammalia; Chiroptera; Pteropodidae
Source: RNAcentral